AGCGAACGCUGGCGGCAGGCCUAACACAUGCAAGUCGAGCGCACCCUUCGGGGCGAGCGGCGGACGGGUUAGUAACGCGUGGGAAUGUACCCUUUUCUACGGAAUAGCCAUUGGAAACGAUGAGUAAUACCGUAUACGCCCUUUGGGGGAAAGAUUUAUCGGAGAAGGAUCAGCCCGCGUUAGAUUAGAUAGUUGGUGGGGUAAUGGCCUACCAAGUCUACGAUCUAUAGCUGGUUUUAGAGGAUGAUCAGCAACACUGGGACUGAGACACGGCCCAGACUCCUACGGGAGGCAGCAGUGGGGAAUCUUAGACAAUGGGCGCAAGCCUGAUCUAGCCAUGCCGCGUGAGUGAAGAAGGCCUUAGGGUCGUAAAGCUCUUUCGCCAGGGAUGAUAAUGACAGUACCUGGUAAAGAAACCCCGGCUAACUCCGUGCCAUCAGCCGCGGUAAUACGGAGGGGGUUAGCGUUGUUCGGAAUUACUGGGCGUAAAGCGCACGUAGGCGGAUUAGAAAGUAUGGGGUGAAAUCCCAGGGCUCAACCCUGGAACUGCCUCAUAAACUCCUAAUCUAGAGUUCGAGAGAGGUGAGUGGAAUUCCGAGUGUAGAGGUGAAAUUCGUA
RNAcentral lists this ribosomal RNA (618 nucleotides) under uncultured Alphaproteobacteria bacterium. RNAcentral's name for it is "bacterial SSU rRNA". It matches the Rfam family "Bacterial small subunit ribosomal RNA", at positions 28 to 692 of the family's 1533-position model. Lineage: Bacteria; Pseudomonadati; Pseudomonadota; Alphaproteobacteria. The record is from RNAcentral.